Long non-coding RNA from Monodelphis domestica (gray short-tailed opossum), 6450 nucleotides. RefSeq lists it as uncharacterized. The record is from RefSeq and is a predicted model, not a curated record. NCBI's taxonomy places the organism in Eukaryota, Metazoa, Chordata, Mammalia, Didelphimorphia, Didelphidae.
UUAUAGAGAGAGUCAGAGAGAGAAUCUGCCUACUGCCCAUUAAAAAAUUACUGACUGAGAGAGAAGGUAGAAGAAUGGAGUGGUGAGAUGAGAUUGGGAAGGAGGAAGCGUGGUCUUUUGUAGGACCUCUGACCAAGUUACUGACUUCACUUCCCCAAAUUCUGGAGAAGCGGGAAUUGUCCGGAAAAGAGAAAUCAGAGCAUAUAGGGCAAGGUUCAAGGGUUAUUUCUGAAGAUUUAAGGUUCAAGAGGAAAUAUAUAUAUAAAUCUCUCAUAUAUAUGUAUAUAUAUAUAUAUAUAUAUAUAUAAAUCUCUGUGUCUCUGCCUCUGUCACUCUAUAGCUGCCUUAGCUACUUAGUAUCAGAUUUUAAAUUAUACUGCAAAGUAGUAAAUAUCAAAAUAAUUCGUAAAGGAGAUGAACUGAGUUAUACAGAAGUACUCCAAAAAUCACAUCAUAAUGAGAAAUCCAGGAGUAUGUUGAGGGAGAAAGGAGAGAUAGGAGAUUAGUUGCAAUUGGAUUAGUGGAUAGUAUAAUAUCACUUUACAUAGUGUCCAGUGCUUAGCAUAGUACCUGGCACAUAGUAGGCACUUAAUAAAUGUUAAUUAAUUCAUUGAAAAGAAAUGAAAGACAGUUGUGAUGGCAUGAUAAGGGAGAAAGGGAUGUACAUUGCAAUUCUGUUCUUAAUUUCUUAUUGUGGGCUAUAAUUGUUCUAUUACAACCGACAGGGCAUUUUGUUGUUUGAUUGUGCCUGCUUAUCUUCAAUGAGCAUUUGUUAUUCUAUUAUAGGAUACCUGACAAUAUAAUUUUUAUUUUGGCAUUUCAAGACCUUUUUAGGUAGCAUCUCUUCUAGAAUUUUCAAGCUCAUCUUCCAGGAAACUGAAGUAAACAAGGUUAAGUGCCUUGCCCAGAGUCACAAGGCUAGUAAGUAUCUAAUGUCACAUUUGAACCCAGGAUCUUCCAUCUCCAGGCCUGGCUUUCUCUCCACUGAUCCACCUAGCUGCCCCUAGGCAGCAGUGUGAAUAUUUUCUCACCUAGCUGCCCUAGCUACAUAGUAUCAGAUUUGAACUAUACUAAAAAGUAGUAAUCAUAAAAAUAAUUUGAUACUGUUUAAGAAAGAGAAAGGUUGAUAAUAUGACAAGAAGCAAAUUAACAUAGUAGCCUACUGUUUAAUGACCCCCAAACAGUUCAGCUCUUGGGAUAAGAACUAAACUAUUUGACAAAAACUAUUUUAAAACAAACUGGUAGAAAAUAGACAUAGACCAUUCAUGCCAUAUGCCAAGGUAAGCUCCAAAUGGGCAGAUACCUUAGACAUGAAGAAUGACAUAAAAAACAAAUUAGAGAAGGGAGAAAGAAGUUUCUAGUCUGAUACACAGGGAGAGAAUUUAUGACUAAAUGAAGUAAAGAAAAUCACAGAGGUUAAAUGAACAAUUUUGAUUACAUAAAAUUAAAAAGGUUUUGCACAAAUAAAACUAGUGCAGCUAAAAUUAGAAAGGAAUCAGUUCAAUUCAAAAUGUAUUUAUAGCAUGUUAUUCUCAUAAAAGUCUUGUUUCUAAGGUAUAUAGAGAAUUGAUUUAAACUCAUAAGAAUGUCUCUUUAUCAAAUGUCCAAUCAAUAGUCACAAGCAUAUUUCCAGAGGCAGAAAUCCAAGAUAUCAAUAGCUAUCUGGAAAAAAAAUGCUCUAAAACUUAUAAUAAGAAAAGGGCAAAUUAAAACUGCUUUCAGGGCCCCCUCUUCACAGCCAUAGGAUUGACAAAGUUGACAGAAAAGGAAAAUGAUAAAUGCUGUACAAACUGUGAAAAAAAAAAAAGGUAUUUUAAUGUACUGUUGAUGAAACUGUGAGAUGGUCCAGCAUUUCUGGAAACCAAUUUAGAACUAUAUUAGAACCCUACCUUUUUGCCAGAAUGAAGUGAGAAGAACCAGGAGAACAAUAUAUACAAUAACAAUAUUAUAUAUAAUAUAAAUAUAUAUUUCAAACAAUUUGAAAGACAGGGAUUUUGAUCAAGGCAAUAACCAACCAGCUUUCCAGAGGAUGCAUGAUGAAACGUAUUUCUAUCUUCUGAUGGAGAAGGGAUGGAUUCAAGUUGCAUAUUGAGAUAUUUUGGGGGAGAAGAUAUGACCAACAUGGGUAAUUGGGCUUAAGUGACUUUCCCAGGGUCACACAGCUAGGAAAUGUAUGAAGUCACAUUUUCACCUGUCUUUUCUUUCCUUCAGGUUUGAAUAAUGCAUUCAAUUUAUACUUGGAUAAAUAGGCAAAAAAAAAUUUCUUUUGAAUUCUAUUAUUACUGAUUGACUAAUAUUUGUGCACUACUAAAGAUCUUUAUCAUUUUAAAGAAUUUUAUAAUUUAUUGAAAUUUUUAAAUAGCCAAGGUUGAGUUUGAAAUGUUUUUGGUUUAACUUUAAAUUGUCUUUUUAGAUUUGUAUGACAUGAGAACUAGAAGAGACAUUAGACAAUAUAAUCCAAUACUUGCAUUUUAUCAUUUAAAAAACUGAGGCUCAGAGAUGUAAAGUGUAUUGUCUAAGUUACACUCAUAAUUAAUAGCAGAGCCAGGAUUAAAACUAAGGCCUAAUUGCAAAUCUGAUACUCUUUCCUCAAAGUUUACAGCUGCCCUAUCUGUCAUGUUUGCUUAGGAAAACAUCCUUGUUUUCAAGUGUUUAGUUUUAUAUCUGAAUCUUCAAUUAAUAUAAUUACAGAAGUUCUAGCUAUCUACAUUGAAUCAUUCAAAUGAAAUUUGUAAAUAAGAUGAGAACAUGUAUUAGACUUCUCUACUCAGGCAAUUACAAAUGUAAUUGUAAUUGUGAACCAAUUGUAGUUGUGAACCAAUUUUUAGGGGGGGCAUAGGAGAAUAUGAGAUAGUUAGGUGGCUAAGUAGUGUAAAAAAUAGACUUGAAUACUUGAAUACAGAACUACAAUCCCCACGAGCCUUUGCUCCACUUCCCCAGAAUGCCUUGUAAUCUCACCUGGGUGGAGAUUGAGAAGGUAUUUAAGCUGAUUCAAAGGCUUUUGUCUCGUUCUCUCGCUCUUGGCUCUUGGCUCUUUUUGGACUUCCAUUUUGGAGCAGGCUGUCUCUUGCGUGAUGUGAGGUUAUUUUGUCUAGGCCUCUGGCCUAGGCACAUGUUUCUUACUUGUAUAUUCUUUAAUCUUUAACCUUUAAUAAACCUCUAAAAAAAUAUAAUACUCCUUGCAGAGAGAAACUAAUUUCUACCUGCCUCAGUCUCCCCGUCUCCCCUAAAUUUUAAUCUUUACAGUUGGCGUAACCACUUUGGGAGAAAAAAAACUCUUAAUCUUCUGAUUUAAUCUUUAAUAUCUAGUACCUAGAAAUAUUUUUUUUUUGAGCCGUAUCUCUCUGGCCAAGGUUUUCUACCCUUGCAAAGCUGCUUCAGGCUCCGGACCUGUUGCCCACCCCACCUGGCUCGGCCCCCGCAGCCGCUCCGGCUCCUGGCCUCUCACCGGCCCGCUGCCUGCCUAUUUCUACGCCCCAGACCCAUGAGCGUGACACCAGACCGCUCAUCCCCCAGAUCCUUGGAGCAGAUCGCUCAGGACUCAUUGCAACCAGCUGGUAACAGUAUUGGCCACAGGGGUAUCAGAGAGGGGAAAGAGAGAAAAGACUAGAGAGAAGAAACAGAUUUUUCAAACAGAAACUUAAAAAGCAAUGGGCUGUUUAAAAGGAUUUUUGACUGUUCUGGUAAUUUCAUUGAUUUCACCUGCGUGCCAGAAGAAACAUUCAGCCCAAAGAUUCAACUUUGAAUUUGCAAAUGGGUGACUCGGGGAAUUGAGAGCCAGGCCUAGAGACAGAAGGUCCUGGGUUCAAAUCGGACCUUGGAUACUUCCCAGCUGUGUGACUCUGAUAGACAGAAAACAGCUGUUUUAAAUCUCAGCAACAGGACCCUAAAGUCCUGGCUGGAAGAGCUGUUUCUAAAUAUCCUUUCCCUUAAGGAACAACUUCCUGGAUUAGGAAAAAAAAAACCACCCAAGGAACUUUAAAGACUAAAGGCUAUAUUCUAAGGCGUUUCAGACUCCAAUGGUUUAAAAAAAAUCUCUAUAUUCUAUUGCAUUUUUUGUUAUGGUUUAACUUUGUGAUUUUAAGUUCAUAUAUUACUGGAUCCAAUAUUAUUCUGUGAACUGAAGGUUGAUUGAGUUUAUUUUGAAUGUAAUGAGUUUUAAAAAUUCUGUUGUUUUCCCCCUGUAACUGUAUUGAACAAAUAUUAUUGUGAAUAAGCCCAUAUAUGAAAAAAUAGCUUUUUUCUAUUUUGCUGAGGAUAGAUGGACUUCAGAACUGGUUAUAAUUGUAUCAACAACCUUUGGAAUUUUAAUGUGCUAAAUACCUCAAAUGAUUUGAUUUUAAGGGUUUUUUAAAUAUGAUUUUUGGAAUUUUUUUUAACAAUCUGGUUAUUUUUGCCUGCCUCUACCACGAGGUAAGGCCCAUUAGCUGAAGUGAAAUACAUUUUAUAAACCCCAACCUUCCCACAUGUGAAUGGAAGUUGGGCAGUUAAUUUCAGGGCAUUUGUACCCUUAAAAAGCCUCCAAGAAAAAGGAGCACCCCUUUAUUUAUACUCUUCAGCUCACUACUUUACUUGCACCAGAAUGAUAUAUAGAUUUCUUGAUUAUGUUCUUAACCCAAGAUGAGUUUUACUUUGUUUAAAAAAUAUGUUCAAAUACCAAGGUUGAAAGAUUACUAUGUUUGUAAAAAUUGUGACAAAUGUCCAUCAAUUCAUAGGUUUUAAAAAUGUCAUACAGCAACUUAUGUGAAAUAUGAAAGUGUGUUUGUUUGCUAUUGUAAUUAAUUGGGCUAUUGAGAAUUUGGGGGACUUUGAUAUCUACAUAUUUGUACUACUGUAUUUUUAAAGAUGAAAAAAUUGUUAACCUUGUUCAAUUCAUUUGCCUUCUACUCACAGUGAUCAUGGCCAGAUACAAAGAGGAAAUGGAUCUCAUUUUUUGGUGAGAAAGCCUUGCAUUUUAUAUUUUCUUAGCUGACACAGAGUGUCAAUGAUUAUAAGCUAUAUUUUUGAAUUUUUUAAAGCUCUUUUAUUAUUAUAUUUUUCUUGCAUGUGCAAUAUACUUUUUCAGUUUUUUUUUAUUAUUUUUUCUCUCCUUUUUAUAUUUGAAGCACAUGUCACCAGUAUUAAGAUUUUCUUUAACCUUUUGAUUUUUCAGUACUACAAGUGUAAGAUACAUUUGUCAGAGCAUGCCCAAAAAGCUUGUGACUAUAAAAACGAUGCCACUAAUUAUUUAAAUAAAUUAUGGGACUUUGCUUAAUGAUUCUGUCUGAUUCCAGGACAAGAGAUACACACAAGAGCCAUUUCACAGAGCCAAAGAAAGGCCAAUCUAGGAUGGAUUGAUGCACUUCUAGGCCAAUACAAAGGUCUUGAACCUAGUGUGAAGACUCGAGGUUACUAUGUUUAACAUGUGUUAAGACAUAGGCUUUCCUUGUAUCCACACUCACCCUGAAGAUACAGACGAGUAUCCCCGAAACCUUGGCUCCUAUAAUCUGGUCCCCUUUUCUGCCUCUCAUAGUGUGGUACCUUUCUGUAGUCCUGGCACUGACUGGGUAAAUGCAUCGUUACUUAGAUCAUUUUGAUUGGGCCCUGAUUGAAGGACCUGUUAUAGAUUUAUUUUUCUUCUACUUGGAAUUUUUACACAUAAGACUUUGAUAGUCUAUAUUUUCAUCCAGAAAUUUUUCUUUUCUUUUGGAUUUUCUGAUGUCUUUUUAAUAUCUCUUGCCAAUUGAUUCAUAUACCUCAUACAUCAGCCAUGCAUCCCUAACUGAUUCUGAAUCUUUCAAUCACCCACAACACGAGGGAAUGUAAAAAAAAUCAUUAUUUAAAUUGCAAAGUUUAAAUUCCUUUUGAGAAGAAUUUUAGGUAAAGAAGAUGCUACCUCUCUGAAUCCAGAACUGAACUGUUGGAGAAGCCACCAUGAAGAAGCCUCCAGACCACAAGUUGCACAAAAUUGAACUUUGGGUGUGGUUGAUUGAACAUUUAUUUGUAUGUAUACUUUUAUGCCAAAGGGGACUGCCCCCUAACGGCUUUUUGUCAAUGUGUUCAGCAAUUAUUGGUUUUAUUUUUUUUUCUCUUAUCCUCACACUAUUGUAAUCUUUUAAGUUUAUUAUGUUUUUAUGAUCCUUUUGGGGAAAAUUUUUCCAAAAAUGAUCACACGGGGAUAUGUAAAAAAAAUAGACUCAAAUACAGGACUACAAUCCCCACGAGCCUUUGCUCCACUUCCCCAGAAUGCCUUGUAAUCUCACCUGGGUGGAGAUUGAGAAGGUAUUUAAGCUGAUUCAAAGGCUUUUGUCUCGCUCUCUCGCUCUUGGCUCUUUUUGGACUUCCAUUUUGGAGCAAGCUGUCUCUUGCGUGAUGUGAGGUUAUUUUGUCUAGGCCUCUGGCCUAGGCACAUGUUUCUUACUUGUAUAUUCUUUAAUCUUUAACCUUUAAUAAACCUCUAAAAAAAUAUAA